Molecule: ribosomal RNA, 274 nt
Filed under: uncultured bacterium
Lineage: Bacteria
Description: partial 16S ribosomal RNA
Rfam family: Bacterial small subunit ribosomal RNA
Source: RNAcentral
AUACGGAGGGCGCAAGCGUUGCCCGGAAUCACUGGGUGUAAAGGGUGCGUAGGCGGGGCUGUAAGUCAGAGGUGAAAGCCCUCGGCUCAACCGGGGAAUUGCCUCUGAUACUGCAGCUCUUGAGUCCCUGAGAGGCCGCUGGAAUUCCUGGUGUAGCGGUGAAAUGCGUAGAUAUCAGGAGGAACACCGGAGGCGAAGGCGGGCGGCUGGACGGGGACUGACGCUGAGGCACGAAAGCGUGGGGAGCAAACAGUACUAGAAACCCUAGUAGUCC